This 72-nucleotide transfer RNA is filed under the name Microseira wollei NIES-4236. RNAcentral's name for it is "tRNA-Lys". It matches the Rfam family "tRNA". Rfam says of the family: Transfer RNA (tRNA) molecules are approximately 80 nucleotides in length. The record is from RNAcentral. Lineage: Bacteria; Bacillati; Cyanobacteriota; Cyanophyceae; Aerosakkonematales; Aerosakkonemataceae.
GGGUGACUAGCUCAAUGGUAGAGCAGUAGACUCUUAAUCUAUUGGUUCAGGGUUCGAGCCCCUGGUCACCCA